UGACCUUUUUGAGGAUUGAACUCAAUUCUAUCGAUUGACAAUCGAUUGUACUAACCAUGUAUACUAAAAGGCC
RNAcentral lists this transfer RNA (73 nucleotides) under Harvfovirus sp. RNAcentral's name for it is "tRNA-Asp". Lineage: Varidnaviria; Bamfordvirae; Nucleocytoviricota; Megaviricetes; Imitervirales; Mimiviridae. The record is from RNAcentral.